RNAcentral lists this ribosomal RNA (796 nucleotides) under Verrucaria elaeina. Its description in RNAcentral is "SSU rRNA". It matches the Rfam family "Bacterial small subunit ribosomal RNA", at positions 396 to 1269 of the family's 1533-position model. The record is from RNAcentral. Lineage: Eukaryota; Fungi; Ascomycota; Eurotiomycetes; Verrucariales; Verrucariaceae.
CUUGGAAGAAUGAAUAACGAAUUAGUCGUAUAAAAUUCUAGAUAGUAAACAGAUAAUGACAAAUAUCUAUCUAUUAGUCUUGACCAAAUUACGUGCCAGCAGUCGCGGCAACACGCAGAAGACAAGUGUUAUUCAUCUUUAUUCGGUUUAAAGGGUACCUAGACGGGAAAUAAAGCCAUAGUAGGGACUAAUUUUCUAGAGUCUUAUGGGAGAAAGUCGAAUACCUGGAGUAGAGAUACAAUAUGCUAAUACUGGGUAGACGGUUAACGGCGUAGGCAACUUUCUAUGUAAAAACUGACGUUGAGGGACGAAGCCCUGGGUAACGAGAAGGAUUAGAUACCCCAGUAGUCCAGGGAGACAAUGAUGAGUGCCAUAGGCUAGAAAUAUUAGUCUAUAAAUGAAAGUGUAAGCAUUCCACCUUAAGACUAAAGCGGCAACGCCCAAAUUGAAAUCAUUAGACCGUUCCUGAAACCAGUAGUGAAGUAUGUUAUUUAAUUCGAUGAUCCGCGAAUAACCUUACCACGUUAUGAAUACUACUGAUGCACGACCCAUUUAAUCUUAAUUAAAUUUAAUAGUAGUACAAGCGCUGCACGGCUGUCUUUAGUUGAUGUCGUGAGAUUUUGGUUAACUCCUCUAAUUAACGAAAACCCUUGUUUUAUAUGUAUAUAUAAAACAGUUCUCCACUAUAUUGGAUAAGAUAAUAGGGAUUAAGACAAGUCAUCAUGGCCUUAAUAACGUGGGCUAUAGACGUGCCACAUAUGCCUUUACAAAGGGAUGCGAUAUUGGAAAUGGAGCU